UGAACGCUGGCGGUAGGCCUAACACAUGCAAGUCGAACGGCAGCACAGUAAGAGCUUGCUCUUACGGGUGGCGAGUGGCGGACGGGUGAGGAAUACAUCGGAAUCUACUUUUUCGUGGGGGAUAACGUAGGGAAACUUACGCUAAUACCGCAUACGACCUACGGGUGAAAGCAGGGGAUCUUCGGACCUUGCGCGAUUGAAUGAGCCGAUGUCGGAUUAGCUAGUUGGCGGGGUAAAGGCCCACCAAGGCGACGAUCCGUAGCUGGUCUGAGAGGAUGAUCAGCCACACUGGAACUGAGACACGGUCCAGACUCCUACGGGAGGCAGCAGUGGGGAAUAUUGGACAAUGGGCGCAAGCCUGAUCCAGCCAUACCGCGUGGGUGAAGAAGGCCUUCGGGUUGUAAAGCCCUUUUGUUGGGAAAGAAAAGCAGCAGGUUAAUACCCCGCCGUUCUGACGGUACCCAAAGAAUAAGCACCGGCUAACUUCGUG
RNAcentral lists this ribosomal RNA (490 nucleotides) under uncultured bacterium. RNAcentral's name for it is "partial 16S ribosomal RNA". It matches the Rfam family "Bacterial small subunit ribosomal RNA", at positions 30 to 507 of the family's 1533-position model. The record is from RNAcentral.